CAACUUUCAACAACGGAUCUCUUGGCUCUCGCAUCGAUGAAGAACGCAGCGAAAUGCGAUAAGUAAUGUGAAUUGCAGAAUUCAGUGAAUCAUCGAAUCUUUGAACGCACCUUGCGCCCUUUGGCAUUCCGAAGGGCACGCCUGUUUGAGUGUC
RNAcentral lists this ribosomal RNA (154 nucleotides) under Hymenochaete sp. SHH-2014. RNAcentral's name for it is "5.8S ribosomal RNA". It matches the Rfam family "5.8S ribosomal RNA". From Rfam's summary of the family: 5.8S ribosomal RNA (5.8S rRNA) is a component of the large subunit of the eukaryotic ribosome. Lineage: Eukaryota; Fungi; Basidiomycota; Agaricomycetes; Hymenochaetales; Hymenochaetaceae. The record is from RNAcentral.